This 553-nucleotide small RNA is filed under the name Pan troglodytes (chimpanzee). Its description in RNAcentral is "processed transcript". Lineage: Eukaryota; Metazoa; Chordata; Mammalia; Primates; Hominidae. The record is from RNAcentral.
GCAUUGGCGCGGGGAGGAGCAGGGAUCUUGGCAGCGGGCGAGGAGGCUGCGAGCGAGCCGCGAACCGAGCGGGCGGCGGGCGCGCGCACCAUGGGGGAGAAACCCGGGACCAGCUCACCGUGUACUUGGGCAAGCGGGACUUCGUAGAUCACCUGGACAAAGUGGACCCUGUAGUGUUUGUGACCCUCACCUGCGCCUUCCGCUAUGGCCGUGAAGACCUGGAUGUGCUGGGCUUGUCCUUCCGCAAAGACCUGUUCAUCGCCACCUACCAGGCCUUCCCCCCGGUGCCCAACCCGCCCCGGCCCCCCACCCGCCUGCAGGACCGGCUGCUGAGGAAGCUGGGCCAGCAUGCCCACCCCUUCUUCUUCACCAUACCCCAGAAUCUUCCAUGCUCCGUCACACUGCAGCCAGGCCCAGAGGAUACAGGGAAGGCCUGCGGCGUAGACUUUGAGAUUCGAGCCUUCUGUGCUAAAUCACUAGAAGAGAAAAGCCACAAAAGGAACUCCGUGCGGCUGGUGAUCCGAAAGGUGCAGUUCGCCCCAGAGAAACCCGG